UCUUUAUAUUCAGAGGAAAAGUUGAAAAAUUUGAAAGCGGAGGCCAAGACAGCACAAGCGGCCUUUGCAGAAGUGUUAGAGUACUAUGGAGAGAGCUCAAGAAGUUGGCUCCUAACACCUUCUUUGCCAUUUUUGUCCGUUUCACCAAAACUUAUAAGAUGGUGGAGCAAGAGAAUGAGCAGCGGCGCCGAUUAGAGGCUGCCUCCAAGCAGCAGCUCUGAACAACAGAAGCAACAACAGCAGCAGCAAGAAAGUCAGCAGGUGGUUAGAAACAACAAAAUCAAUGCACGUAAACAACAGGCUUACGGAGGAGAGGUAAUAUUUACAAAUGAUUUCUUUUUCAAUGUGUGUCUAAUGAACUUACUGUAUUAACUUC
Long non-coding RNA from Penaeus monodon (black tiger shrimp), 376 nucleotides. RefSeq lists it as uncharacterized. Lineage: Eukaryota; Metazoa; Arthropoda; Malacostraca; Decapoda; Penaeidae. The record is from RefSeq and is a predicted model, not a curated record. The transcript has 4 exons.